Long non-coding RNA from Talpa occidentalis (Iberian mole), 888 nucleotides. RefSeq lists it as uncharacterized. NCBI's taxonomy places the organism in Eukaryota, Metazoa, Chordata, Mammalia, Eulipotyphla, Talpidae. The transcript has 4 exons. The record is from RefSeq and is a predicted model, not a curated record.
UUUGUGAGGCGGAGACUGGUUUUCAUGACAUCAGCUGAGCUGAAGAGGUGAGCUAGGGCCACAAAAGAUGAUUAUAAGGACCCCACACAUUUUGGAAGAAAAGCAAGAGCCAGAAGAUGGGAAAAACAGAUCAUGUUUAUGAGACCAGUCUGCAGCCAUGCCACACUUAAGAGUUUGGGUUUUCAUUCGGCAAAGAAACUAGCUGUUCUUUCUUCAAGGCUCAUUGGAAAACUUGCCCAGCAUCUGUUAGUCUGACUCUUCGGCUUUAGGAUCAUUGUCUUGGAAUCUUCUAAACCAGUUUCUACCUCAAGACCUACCCCAGAAACAACUUCUGUUACCAGUUUCUUACGCAUCUUUCCAGAAAGCCUAGGCAUUAACAGAGGGAUACCUAUGUGCGAAAACCAGCUCCUGACCUGCAGUGAAGAACCCCGUGGAGAAAAACAAGGGAAAUGAACUUGUGAGCCCACAGACCCAGCUUGCCCCUUCACCUGAUGCCAUAAGCCACAGCAGGAUUCCUGGAGGCUGACAGGGUACUUUUGGGAUAAGAGAUUAAAGACUUUGGUUGUUACAUCUUCCCAGACAAGAUAGGUCUGACUUAAAUAACUGCAAGACCAAGGGUUGCUUUGGAUUUAUGAACAGUGAUUCUUCGACAUUAUGAGCAGUGAUUCUCUUUAUCAGCUUACUAAGUUUGUGAAAAACUCAUCUCUUUUAACUAACUUUAAAUACUAGAAAUUAACCAGAUGUCUUCUUUCCCUUGUUAAGAAAAAACAAAAAACAAUGUUUUCUUUCUGUGUAUAUAAUGUAGCAAUAUAAACUGAGGCCAGAAACUCAGAGUGGGGCCAGUCACUUGGAUUUGCUGGUGUCUGGAGCCUGGGUCCUCAGUUUGGC